UCGGGAAUAUUGGGCAAUGGGCGAAAGCCUGACCCAGCAACUCCGCGUGAGGGAUGAAGGCCCUCGGGUCGUAAACCUCUGUCGGGAGGGAAGAACGGGCCGUAGGUUAAUAGCCUGCGGUCUUGACGGUACCUCCAAAGGAAGCACCGGCUAACUCCGUGCCAGCAGCCGCGGUAAUACGGAGGGUGCAAGCGUUGUUCGGAAUCAUUGGGCGUAAAGCGGGUGUAGGCGGCUUGGCAAGUCGGGUGUGAAAGCCCAGGGCCCAACCCUGGAACUGCACUCGAAACUGCCGAGCUAGAGUCCCGGAGAGGGUGGCGGAAUUCCCGGUGUAGAGGUGAAAUUCGUAGAUAUCGGGAGGAACACCAGUGGCGAAGGCGGCCACCUGGACGGUGACUGACGCUGAGACCCGAAAGCGUGGGGAGCAAACAGGAUUAGAUACCCCCGUAGUCC
This 450-nucleotide ribosomal RNA is filed under the name uncultured prokaryote. RNAcentral's name for it is "bacterial SSU rRNA". It matches the Rfam family "Bacterial small subunit ribosomal RNA", at positions 355 to 796 of the family's 1533-position model. The record is from RNAcentral.